Non-coding RNA from Megalopta genalis, 1929 nucleotides. NCBI's taxonomy places the organism in Eukaryota, Metazoa, Arthropoda, Insecta, Hymenoptera, Halictidae. The record is from RefSeq and is a predicted model, not a curated record.
CAUUUCCUCCAUCUUUUCUCAAGUCUCUGCGUCCAAAUGAGCAAGUCGACUUUAUGCUGCGCUGAGAGGCGAUGCUACGCUGCGAGUUCGUGCGCUGAAGAUGGACCGUUGAUUCUAGAGAGCUGUCGUCGGAUGUUUCGGGUUCGUCAUUAACAGGUACCCAGUGAAGAAUGGGGUUGGACUGCAGGAUCACGUAAUCCGUGUCCUGGGCCGCAGCCGAGGUGGACCCUAAAACAGAGGCGAUAUGUGUUUUUAUCUGUUCAAGGUCGAAUUUCGUUGAUCACGUGGUACAGUAUGCUAAUAUUUGGAGAUUAAACAAUAAGAAACGAGAUAAUGUUGAUUGCGUGAGGAUUUGCGAAUGAAAUACGACUGAUCGUCAUUGUUCACACUGCCCUGCACCAGUGUAGUAGAUAUAUAAAAUGAAAUCAUGCUCGGUAAAGCUUAUAGAUCUAGACUGUGAGAAAGAUAAUGUCGCCUUGAAUUUCCAACAAAGUUUUAUUGCCAUUCGCAUUGUAUAAUAUAAUGGUCGGACCGUCUACAGUAAAUCGUACACACAGUACAAAAGAAUACAUAGAUAGAGAUGAAAAUAUACCUAGAUCUCUUCUUUGUUUUUCAUUUCUUUGCUUUGGUAUAUAAAACUCUCCUUCGCGAGGAAGCCUUAUCUUUCUAAGAAUACAAGAUCUAUCAGCGUGACGUCCGGAAAAGGAAACGUAUCUCGGCUACACUCGACAAUAGUAACAAUUAUCACAGUCUGGUUUUACAAAUGGUGUUACAGAGUAACGGGUUUCGGAAGCUACGACGUGUACAACAGCAUUUCUUGGAGUAUAAUACAGCGACAACGGAAGUAAUAUGCAUUAACAUUAGACUUAACACGGUUGAAACGUUGAGCACGUUCCGCAAGCAUUGCCACAACAGUAGUACUAAACUAGCGCACGAUGCUUUUAUUUCACACCUAAGGAUCCAGUCUCGCAUGACGCAUUGGCACAUUUUGGAAUAGCUACAUUUUCUAUAUGACAUCCUCAACAUAUGAUUAUCUCUCUUAAGAAUUUGUACUUAUGUACAAAUUCAACAUUUUUAUUUGUUUUUGUUCAGGUAAACCUAACACAUCAGUAAUACUGUUUAAGCAUUCAAUUAACAGAUGAAUUGACGAAAGUUCCCUGGUGAAUUGCAACUGCUUUUUAGCAGUGGAAUACACCAUCUUCAAGUGCUAUGAUGAUGCCUUAAUGAUGAUAUGUUAUCGAAUUAUAGCUGCCCUCGAUUUGAAUCGUUAAAGGUUUGUACUGUACUCGUAUACGAUGUCACAGUUUUGAUCUUGCUGCGAUGGUUCUUGAACUAUAACCAGAGGCAGUGAAAGUACUACAGAAGAAGGCUCACCUGGGAGUGAGUCUGUUGGUACCACUGCAGGAGAUGGUACAUCUAGAACAUCCUCGCAAGCUUCUUCGUUCAACGUUUGAAGUGCUCCGCAAAUCAUUUGCUCUUCCAAAGUUACCUGAAAGAGAAAUCUUUCAUUGAAAUUACUGUAUUCAAUGUAUACCGAGUUAUUAGUUUAAAUAAUAUUAUAUAUUCCUUUCACUAUGAAGUCAUUAACCAUAUAUUUUGCUUACCUGGUACUAAAACGGUGCACGAUUGUAGCGUGAAUCACACUUUAUGUUAAUAAAUUAUUUAUAAAACACAAAAUUUUGCGAUACCGUUCCUGUUGUAUGUUUUAAAAUAGCUUACUUGUUUCUCCAUGAUGGAUUGCUUGGUCUGGUCUCGCCUAGGAGGACCAUCGGUUCUCGAGUUGCCUUUUUCUUUCUCGCUGUGAGUCGGUACACGCAUUGAUGAGCUUUGUAAAUUAUGAUCUAAAAUGAUAGAAUGAAAUAGUAAAUAAUAAUUUAUAACUCUGUGCACGCCAGUAUUUCGGUCAGAAAUAAAAUGUAUUCCUUCCUA